AGGGUAUUAUUUUAAUGGUAAAGAAUAGUGUUACGGCCACUAAGAUAUAAGUUCGAUUCUUAUAUGCCUUU
This 71-nucleotide transfer RNA is filed under the name Alternaria tenuissima. Its description in RNAcentral is "tRNA-Arg". It matches the Rfam family "tRNA". Rfam says of the family: Transfer RNA (tRNA) molecules are approximately 80 nucleotides in length. Lineage: Eukaryota; Fungi; Ascomycota; Dothideomycetes; Pleosporales; Pleosporaceae. RNAcentral also lists the same sequence under 1 other name. The record is from RNAcentral.